UAGACCUUUAUCUAUGGAAGGGCAGUGUGU
This 30-nucleotide non-coding RNA is filed under the name Mus musculus (house mouse). Lineage: Eukaryota; Metazoa; Chordata; Mammalia; Rodentia; Muridae. The record is from RNAcentral.